RNAcentral lists this ribosomal RNA (805 nucleotides) under uncultured Pelagibacteraceae bacterium. Its description in RNAcentral is "bacterial SSU rRNA". It matches the Rfam family "Bacterial small subunit ribosomal RNA", at positions 34 to 887 of the family's 1533-position model. Lineage: Bacteria; Pseudomonadati; Pseudomonadota; Alphaproteobacteria; Candidatus Pelagibacterales; Candidatus Pelagibacteraceae. The record is from RNAcentral.
CGCUGGCGGCACGCCUUAUACAUGCAAGUCGAACGAAGUAGCAAUACUUAGUGGCAGACGGGUGAGUAACAUGUAGGUAUCUUCCCUUUGGUGAGGAAUAACACGAGGAAACUUGUGCUAAUACCUCAUAAGUCUUUACGGAGAAAGCUUUAUGCGCCGAAGGAUGAGCCUGCACUUGAUUAGUUUGUUGGUGGGGUAAUGGCCUACCAAGACUUUGAUCUAUAGCUGAUCUGAGAGGAUGAUCAGCCACAUUGGGACUGAGACACGGCCCAAACUCCUACGGGAGGCAGCAGUAGGGAAUAUUGCACAAUGGAGGAAACUCUGAUGCAGCGAUGCCGCGUGAGUGAAGAAGGCCUUUGGGUUGUAAAGCUCUUUCGUCGGGGAAGAAAAUGACUGUACCCGAAUAAGAAGGUCCGGCUAACUUCGUGCCAGCAGCCGCGGUAAUACGAAGGGACCUAGCGUAGUUCGGAAUUACUGGGCUUAAAGAGUUCGUAGGUGGUUAAAAAAGUUGGUGGUGAAAUCCCAGAGCUUAACUCUGGAACUGCCAUCAAAACUUUUUAGCUAGAGUAUGAUAGAGGAAAGCAGAAUUUCUAGUGUAGAGGUGAAAUUCGUAGAUAUUAGAAAGAAUACCAAUUGCGAAGGCAGCUUUCUGGAUCAUUACUGACACUGAGGAACGAAAGCAUGGGUAGCGAAGAGGAUUAGAUACCCUCGUAGUCCAUGCCGUAAACGAUGUGUGUUAGACGUUGGAAAUUUAUUUUCAGUGUCGCAGCGAAAGCAUUAAACACACCGCCUGGGGAGUACGACC